RNAcentral lists this ribosomal RNA (468 nucleotides) under uncultured bacterium. RNAcentral's name for it is "partial 16S ribosomal RNA". It matches the Rfam family "Bacterial small subunit ribosomal RNA", at positions 28 to 507 of the family's 1533-position model. The record is from RNAcentral.
GACGAACGCUGGCGGCGUGCUUAACACAUGCAAGUCGAACGGAAAGGCCCUGCUUUUGUGGGGUGCUCGAGUGGCGAACGGGUGAGUAACACGUGAGUAACCUGCCCUUGACUUUGGGAUAACUUCAGGAAACUGGGGCUAAUACCGGAUAGGAGCUCCUGCUGCAUGGUGGGGGUUGGAAAGUUUCGGCGGUUGGGGAUGGACUCGCGGCUUAUCAGCUUGUUGGUGGGGUAGUGGCUUACCAAGGCUUUGACGGGUAGCCGGCCUGAGAGGGUGACCGGCCACAUUGGGACUGAGAUACGGCCCAGACUCCUACGGGAGGCAGCAGUGGGGAAUAUUGCACAAUGGGCGGAAGCCUGAUGCAGCAACGCCGCGUGCGGGAUGACGGCCUUUGGGUUGUAAACCGCUUUCGCCUGUGACGAAGCGUGAGUGACGGUAAUGGGAAAAGAAGCACCGGCUAACUACGUG